CAGAGGUCCCAAGCGUUGUUCGGAUUCACUGGGCGUAAAGGGUGCGUAGGUGGUAAGGCAAGUCAGGUGUGAAAUCUCCGGGCUCAACCCGGAAAUGGCAUUCGAAACUACCUUGCUAGAGGGUUUGAGGGGGGACUGGAAUACUUGGUGUAGCAGUGAAAUGCGUAGAUAUCAAGUGGAACACCAGUGGCGAAGGCGAGUCCCUGGAAAACUCCUGACACUGAGGCACGAAAGCUAGGGGAGCAAACAGGAUUAGAUACCCUGGUAGUCCUAGCCCUAAACGGUGCUUGCUUGCUGUAAGAGGAAUCGACCCCUCUUGUGGCGGAGCUAACGCGUUAAGCAAGCCGCCUGGGAAGUACGGUCGCAAGAUUA
Molecule: ribosomal RNA, 372 nt
Filed under: uncultured organism
Description: bacterial SSU rRNA
Rfam family: Bacterial small subunit ribosomal RNA
Source: RNAcentral